CAAGAAUAUGGAGAAGAAAGGGGUUCUC
Molecule: small RNA, 28 nt
Filed under: Bombyx mori (domestic silkworm)
Lineage: Eukaryota; Metazoa; Arthropoda; Insecta; Lepidoptera; Bombycidae
Description: ovarian small RNA-12825
Source: RNAcentral